CCCACGCGAAAGCACGAGACCAGGAUUCCCCUAGUAACUGCGAGUGAAGAGGGAUUAGCCCAGCACCGAAGCCUGCGGUCAUUUGACUGCUAGGCAAUGUGGUGUUUAGGUUGGUUCUUGGCAUUACUGCUCCACCCUAAGUCCAGCAAUGAGUACGGCUUACUGGAUUGGCCCAUUGAGGGUGAAAGGCCCGUGUGGGUGGAGACUCAAAUUAUCAGUUUUGCCCUGAAUUAACCUUGGAGUCGGGUUGUUUGUGAAUGCAGCCCAAAGUGGGUGGUAAACUCCAUCUAAGGCUAAAUACUGGCACGAGUCCGAUAGCGAACAAGUACCGUGAGGGAAAGUUGAAAAGUACUCUAAAAAAAGAACACU
This 369-nucleotide ribosomal RNA is filed under the name Clinostomum complanatum. RNAcentral describes it as "partial large subunit ribosomal RNA". It matches the Rfam family "Eukaryotic large subunit ribosomal RNA", at positions 51 to 391 of the family's 3401-position model. The record is from RNAcentral. Lineage: Eukaryota; Metazoa; Platyhelminthes; Trematoda; Strigeidida; Clinostomidae.